UACAGAGACUGCAAGCGUUAUUCGGAUUCACUGGGUUUAAAGGGUGCGUAGGAGGGCAGGUAAGUCAGUGGUGAAAUCUCCGAGCUUAACUUGGAAACUGCCGUUGAUACUAUCUGUCUUGAAUAUUGUGGAGGUGAGCGGAAUAUGUCAUGUAGCGGUGAAAUGCUUAGAUAUGACAUAGAACACCAAUUGCGAAGGCAGCUCGCUACACAUAUAUUGACUCUGAGGCACGAAAGCGUGGGGAUCAAACAGG
Molecule: ribosomal RNA, 253 nt
Filed under: uncultured bacterium
Lineage: Bacteria
Description: partial 16S ribosomal RNA
Rfam family: Bacterial small subunit ribosomal RNA
Source: RNAcentral